RNAcentral lists this long non-coding RNA (1188 nucleotides) under Marmota monax (woodchuck). The record is from RNAcentral. Lineage: Eukaryota; Metazoa; Chordata; Mammalia; Rodentia; Sciuridae.
CAUUGGGUUUGAUCUUCAGCACCACAUAAAAAUAAAUAAACAAAAUGAAAAUAUUGUGUCCAUCUAUAACUAAAAGUUAAAAAAAGAAGUUUAUUUUUCUUUAUACUUGAAAUAUUAACAUUUUACUGGACUACAUCUAAGUGUGAAUUUCCUUUGAUAUAUUUUGUUUGGAAGUUGGUAUUCAAAAAUUACUGAAUGCAUACAAUGAAAUGCACUUUGAAAAGACAAAAAUAUCUUCAUAUUAUGAAAUAGUUUUGACCUUGUGGACCUCCUGAAAGGGCUUGAGAGAUCCCCAAGAGGUCCAUGGAUUAUACUUUUGAGAACCACUGUUACAGGAAAAUGGACUUACCUUUUGUAUCAUUUUGAGACAGUGGGGUUUGUUCUCUAGUAUAUGUUAGAAUUAGUGAGCAAUAUUUGGUUCUGGUUUUCUCAUAGCCUUAUAGGAUAUGUGGGACCAGUUAGGGUAACACAGAAUUUUUGCUUCCCUUAUUCAAACUCUGGGCUGAUCAAACUUUUUAGAAGUCAGUGAAAAGAUGUUCUACUGAACUUGACCUCUCCCUGCCUCCUGUCAUGAGCUUAGCAGCUUUCUUCCUCCACACCUGUCUGUCAUGAUGUUCUGCCUCAUCACAGCCCUGAAGCAGUGAAUUGGCUGACCAUGGACAGAAUCUCUGACACCGUUCCAGGGUAUCCAAGAAGCUUUCACCAAAGUCUUCUCAAAUGAAAGGACAACAACUCAUGGUGCCAGUGGGGGAACCUGUAUCAUAUAUGAGCAAACAGUCUUUGGAUGGUGUUAUGGUUUGGAUAUGCAAUGUACCCCCAAAGCUCCUGUGCCAAUGUAGGAAUAUUCAGAGGAUUAUGAGAGCUAAAACUUAAUCAGUCCAUCCGAGUUUAAAUGGACUAGUUGGUAACUGUCGGCAGGUGGGUGGGUCAGUGGAGGGUGUGCCCUGGAAGGGUUCAUCUUCCCUGUGGCCCCUUCUUUUCUCCCUCUGUCUGAUUUCUGGUUGCCAUGAGUGGAGCAGCGCUGCUCCCCCCAUACCCUUCCACCAUGAUGUUUUGCCUCAUCUUGGACCCAGAACAAUGGAAUUGGCCAACCAUGGACUUAACCUCUGAAACUGUGAGCCCAAAUAACCUUUUUCUCCUCCAAAUUGUUAUUGUUGGGUAUUUUGGUCACAGUGAUGAAAAGCUGAC